GAACACUUCCAGAUUGACCACAGAACCAAUGGGAGCCUGAGACUUUCAGACUGAUAGACCGCAGCUUGAGUUGAUGAGAUCACAGCUGUUCGGAUGUUCGGAGGGUCCCUUUCCCCCAAUGGAGAACAAUUUGUUGGAGCUAAAUCUGGAGAAUCAAAAGACGAAGUCCUUGGCAUGAAGGGCUUUGAGCAGAUGUAAAAGUUAAUGAGAUUAAAUAAAUGCAAUAAGAAAGAAAAGAAUGUUCUAACAACUAAAAAUGAGACUGGGCGAGAGGAAAGCAGUGCUGCUGGCCAUCAGUGAACAGAUAGAAAUGGAGAUGUUUUCUUCAGAGGAGUGCUGUCUGGUGAAAAAGCAAGAGAAAAAAGAAGAAAACAACUUUGAGCGGAAGUACAGGUACCUGGAACAUCCCCUUGAACCUGACUGUGAAGAGAGUCAAGAGGAAGAUUUCCAGGUCCAACCCAGGCAGCAGACGCAUCUCAAAGCAAAGCUUUCUGUUCAAGAGGAGCCCCAGUACUACCCUCACAUCCUCAAGUUAACAGAUGAAAUGGAGCUGGAGUCAUUUCCUCCCAUCAGAUUUUCAGAUAUUGAACUGGUGGAGAUACAUUCAGGUGAUUCUUCUGUCGUGACCCCGCGAUCCCUUCGGAAAACUGCUUCUGUAAAAUGGAAGAGCCUGACGCCUCAGAAGACAGGACUGGAGGUUAAAGAUGUGAUCUGUUUAACCAGAAGACAUUACAUGACUCAGCUGGAGAGACAAAACUAUCCAGAGAACAGUGUGAGGCCAGCGUCUGGGCUGACCGCUCGCAUCACCAUCGACCACAGCUGGUCAGCAGGUCAGGUGGAAGGUCGUCUGACGCUGCUGUUCUGGGACUGGUUUGUAAAAAAAGUGGGACAAAAGUUUUCAUUCACAUAUCUACAGUGUGUGCAGGGCUCUAAAGCACUCUUUGUACCUGACACCCCAGCUGAGGGCUGGACAGGGGAGCAGGUACUCAGGAUAUCUGGACGGGGCGCUUUGUAUAUUAUCAGUCACCAGGACUACCCACAGGCAGAAUGUAAACGACAGACAUCUUUGCCAAGCAGGUGA
Molecule: long non-coding RNA, 1081 nt
Filed under: Oryzias javanicus (javanese ricefish)
Lineage: Eukaryota; Metazoa; Chordata; Actinopteri; Beloniformes; Adrianichthyidae
Description: lncRNA (ENSOJAG00000003797.1)
Source: RNAcentral